RNAcentral lists this unclassified non-coding RNA (266 nucleotides) under Athalia rosae (coleseed sawfly). RNAcentral describes it as "misc RNA ENSAEAG00005003961.1". The record is from RNAcentral. Lineage: Eukaryota; Metazoa; Arthropoda; Insecta; Hymenoptera; Athaliidae.
ACGAUCUCAAUAUUAUCUUCCUAUACCUUUUCUUAUAAUUCCAGCUACGUGGGGGUUUAUAAACGUGGGCGAGUUUGAAAUUUCCAACAAUGAAAUUAACGAUCACAUUUCUUGUCUUGAAGCAAAAAAGGGUCGAAAUAAAAAAGAUAAAAAAAUCAGAAGAUAAUGUCAUUUCAGAAUUAUCGCUUGAUAUUUAUUUAUGUUGGAUAAAAACAUCCGUCUCUCAAUGCACAGCAAAUGUCAGAACGAUAUCCGCACAGAGCCUG